Molecule: transfer RNA, 95 nt
Filed under: Nonomuraea glycinis
Lineage: Bacteria; Bacillati; Actinomycetota; Actinomycetes; Streptosporangiales; Streptosporangiaceae
Description: tRNA-Asp
Source: RNAcentral
GGCACGUCCGGGUCGAUGGGCAGGGUCUCCCAGCCGGUCACGCGGGAGUGGAUGUAGCCGCUGUAGCCGGCCAGGUUCGCGGCCUUGACGUACUC